AGUUGGCCCUGGAACUCAAGCCUGGAGGAGCUCCUCUGAUUGCUUCCUUUUAGACAGUCACGUGGUGACUGGUAAGACGUGGUACUUGUGCCUCCUCAGUUGUAUAACCACAUGCUCAAGAUGUGCGUGACAAACGUCAGACUAUUUGAAGACCACGAUCACUGGCCAAGGACAUGACCAGCCAUCUUGAAACUAACACAGACCACCAUAAUUGUUCUGCAGAAAUGAGCCUUAUAUGACCUUUCAUUAAGUCUAUUCCAAAUCUAAAUUUCUCCUCCACUUAUGUUACUAUACUUCAUUUGGAGAGUUUUUCAAAUGAACUUAACACUGAUUAGUCAUUCAGCAGAGCAUCAAUAAAAGUUUAGCAUGAAUGCCAGUGGUGGAAGAGAAGAGAGCCAUGUCUAAAGAUAUUCCUUCCUCACAAAGAGGUUGUAUAAGGAAAUCUCAAAAGUCCUUCAGGAUGUAGAAUCUAUACUUCUGCAUGGAAAAGCAGCCCAAGGAAACCAAGGAGAUGUCCUUCUA
RNAcentral lists this long non-coding RNA (522 nucleotides) under Monodelphis domestica (gray short-tailed opossum). Its description in RNAcentral is "lncRNA (ENSMODG00000036698.1)". Lineage: Eukaryota; Metazoa; Chordata; Mammalia; Didelphimorphia; Didelphidae. The record is from RNAcentral.